GAUGAACGCUGGCGGCGUGCCUAAUACAUGCAAGUCGAGCGAACAGACGCGGAGCUUGCUCCUCUGACGUUAGCGGCGGACGGGUGAGUAACACGUGGAUAACCUACCUAUAAGACUGGGAUAACUUCGGGAAACCGGCGCUAAUACCGGAUAAUAUAUUGAACCGCAUGGUUCAAUAGUGAAAGACGGUUUUGCUGUCACUUGUAGAUGGAUCCGCGCCGGAUUAGCUAGUUGGUAAGGUAACGGCUUACCAAGGCAACGAUGCGUAGCCGACUUGGGAGGGUGAUCGGCCGCACUGGAACUGGGACGCCGUCCAGACUCCUGCGGGAGGCAGCAGUAGGGAAUCUUCCGCAAUGGGCGAAAGCCUGACGGAGCAACGCCGCGUGAGUGAUGAAGGUCUUCGGAUCGUAAAACUCUGUUAUUAGGGAAGAACAAAUGUGUAAGUAACUAUGCACGUCUUGACGGUACCUAAUCAGAAAGCCACGGCUAACUACGUG
This 497-nucleotide ribosomal RNA is filed under the name uncultured bacterium. Its description in RNAcentral is "partial 16S ribosomal RNA". It matches the Rfam family "Bacterial small subunit ribosomal RNA", at positions 28 to 507 of the family's 1533-position model. The record is from RNAcentral.